CGGACGGGUGAGUAACGCGUGGAUAACCUGCCUCACACUGGGGGAUAACAGUUAGAAAUGACUGCUAAUACCGCAUAAGCGCACAGUACCGCAUGGUACGGUGUGAAAAACUCCGGUGGCGUGAGAUGGAUCCGCGUCUGAUUAGCCAGUUGGCGGGGUAACGGCCCACCAAAGCGACGAUCAGUAGCCGACCUGAGAGGGUGACCGGCCACAUUGGGACUGAGACACGGCCCAA
This 235-nucleotide ribosomal RNA is filed under the name uncultured bacterium. RNAcentral's name for it is "partial 16S ribosomal RNA". It matches the Rfam family "Bacterial small subunit ribosomal RNA", at positions 99 to 334 of the family's 1533-position model. The record is from RNAcentral.